This 453-nucleotide ribosomal RNA is filed under the name uncultured Porphyromonadaceae bacterium. RNAcentral describes it as "partial 16S ribosomal RNA". It matches the Rfam family "Bacterial small subunit ribosomal RNA", at positions 341 to 792 of the family's 1533-position model. The record is from RNAcentral. Lineage: Bacteria; Pseudomonadati; Bacteroidota; Bacteroidia; Bacteroidales; Porphyromonadaceae.
ACGGAAGGCAGCAGUGAGGAAUAUUGGUCAAUGGGCGGAAGCCUGAACCGGCCAAGUCGCGUGAAGGAUGAAGGUAUUAUGUAUUGUAAACUUCUUUAGACGUAGAGAAAUAAGGGGGUCGUGACCUCUGAUGCUAGUAUACGUAGAAUAAGGAUCGGCUAACUCCGUGCCAGCAGCCGCGGUAAUACGGAGGAUCCGAGCGUUAUCCGGAUUUAUUGGGUUUAAAGGGUGCGCAGGCGGUCUUUUAAGUCAGUGGUUAAAUCGUGGAGCUUAACUCCAUCCCGCCAUUGAUACUGGAGGACUUGAUUGCGGUUGAGGUUGGCGGAAUUCGCCGUGUAGCGGUGAAAUGCAUAGAUAUGGCGAAGAACUCCGAUUGCGUAGGCAGCUGACCAAGCCGUAAAUGACGCUCAUGCACGAAAGUGCGGGGAUCGAACAGGAUUAGAUACCCUGGUA